RNAcentral lists this small RNA (734 nucleotides) under Pongo abelii (Sumatran orangutan). RNAcentral's name for it is "processed transcript". The record is from RNAcentral. Lineage: Eukaryota; Metazoa; Chordata; Mammalia; Primates; Hominidae.
UGGCGCUGCAGUGGCGUUUCCGACUGUGGGAGCCUCAGCUUCCCAGUCGUCCGAUGAGCCCGAGCAGUACCAGAAAAGUACCACUGUAAGUCAUGAGAUGUCUGGUCUGAAUUGGAAACCCUUUGUAUAUGGCGGCCUUGCCUCUAUCGUGGCUGAGUUUGGGACUUUCCCUGUGGACCUUACCAAAACACGACUUCAGGUUCAAGGCCAAAGCAUUGAUGCCCGUUUCAAAGAGAUAAAAUAUAGAGGGAUGUUCCAUGCGCUGUUUCGCAUCUGUAAAGAGGAAGGUGUAUUGGCUCUCUAUUCAGGAAUUGCUCCUGCGUUGCUAAGACAAGCAUCAUAUGGCACCAUUAAAAUUGGGAUUUACCAAAGCUUGAAGCGCUUAUUCGUAGAACGUUUAGAAGAUGAAACUCUUUUAAUUAAUAUGAUCUGUGGGGUAGUGUCAGGAGUGAUAUCUUCCACUAUAGCCAAUCCCACCGAUGUUCUAAAGAUUCGAAUGCAGGCUCAAGGAAGCUUGUUCCAAGGGAGCAUGAUUGGAAGCUUUAUCGAUAUAUACCAACAAGAAGGCACCAGGGGUCUGUGGAGGGGUGUGGUUCCAACUGCUCAGCGUGCUGCCAUCGUUGUGGGAGUAGAGCUACCAGUCUAUGAUAUUACUAAGAAGCACUUAAUAUUGUCAGGAAUGAUGGGCGAUACAAUUUUAACUCACUUCGUUUCCAGCUUUACAUGUGGUUUGG